CCUACGGGAGGCAGCAGUGAGGAAUAUUGGACAAUGGGCGCAAGCCUGAUCCAGCCAUGCCGCGUGCAGGAUGACGGUCCUAUGGAUUGUAAACUGCUUUUGUACAGGAAGAAACAGUUCUACGUGUAGAACCUUGACGGUACUGUAAGAAUAAGGAUCGGCUAACUCCGUGCCAGCAGCCGCGGUAAUACGGAGGAUCCAAGCGUUAUCCGGAAUCAUUGGGUUUAAAGGGUCCGUAGGCGGUUUAGUAAGUCAGUGGUGAAAGCCCAUCGCUCAACGGUGGAACGGCCAUUGAUACUGCUAAACUUGAAUUAUUAGGAAGUAACUAGAAUAUGUAGUGUAGCGGUGAAAUGCUUAGAGAUUACAUGGAAUACCAAUUGCGAAGGCAGGUUACUACUAAUGGAUUGACGCUGAUGGACGAAAGCGUGGGUAGCGAACAGGAUUAGAUACCCUGGUAGUCCACGCCGUAAACGAUGGAUACUAGCUGUUGGAAGCAAUUUCAGUGGCUAAGCGAAAGUGAUAAGUAUCCACCUGGGGAGUACGUUCGCAAGAAUUGAAAUUCAAUGAAUUGACGGCUUGAGAGNGCGAGACGACACGAGGGAGGAGG
Molecule: ribosomal RNA, 607 nt
Filed under: uncultured bacterium
Lineage: Bacteria
Description: bacterial SSU rRNA
Rfam family: Bacterial small subunit ribosomal RNA
Source: RNAcentral